This 329-nucleotide ribosomal RNA is filed under the name uncultured eukaryote. RNAcentral describes it as "partial 18S ribosomal RNA". It matches the Rfam family "Eukaryotic small subunit ribosomal RNA", at positions 1470 to 1796 of the family's 1831-position model. The record is from RNAcentral.
CCCUUAGAUGUUCUGGGCCGCACGCGCGCUACAAUGAUGAAUUCAACGAGUUUAUAACCUUGGUUGAAAAGCCUGGGUAAUCUUUUGAACUUUCGUCGUGAUGGGGCUAGACCCUUGCAAUUAUUGGUCUCCAACGAGGAAUUCCUAGUAAACGCAAGUCAUCAGCUUGCAUUGAUUACGUCCCUGCCCUUUGUACACACCGCCCGUCGCACCUACCGAUUGAAUGGUCCGGCGAAAUCUUCGGAUUGAGACUUUGUUUUCUUCACGGAAAACGCUGUUUUAAAAAGUUGAUUAAACCUUACCAUUUAGAGGAAGGUGAAGUCGUAACA